UACGAAGGGGGCUAGCGUUGCUCGGAAUCACUGGGCGUAAAGCGCACGUAGGCGGCUUCUUAAGUCAGGGGUGAAAUCCUGGAGCUCAACUCCAGAACUGCCUUUGAUACUGAGGAGCUUGAGUCCGGGAGAGGUGAGUGGAACUGCGAGUGUAGAGGUGAAAUUCGUAGAUAUUAGGAAGAACACCAGUGGCGAAGGCGGCUCACUGGCCCGGUACUGACGCUGAGGCGCGAAAGCGUGGGGAGCAAACAGG
RNAcentral lists this ribosomal RNA (253 nucleotides) under uncultured bacterium. RNAcentral's name for it is "partial 16S ribosomal RNA". It matches the Rfam family "Bacterial small subunit ribosomal RNA", at positions 524 to 776 of the family's 1533-position model. The record is from RNAcentral.